This 483-nucleotide ribosomal RNA is filed under the name uncultured bacterium. RNAcentral describes it as "partial 16S ribosomal RNA". It matches the Rfam family "Bacterial small subunit ribosomal RNA", at positions 30 to 507 of the family's 1533-position model. The record is from RNAcentral.
AUUGAACGCUGGGGCAGGCCUAACACAUGCAAGUCGAGCGGAUGAAGGGAGCUUGCUCCUGGAUUCAGCGGCGGACGGGUGAGUAAUGCCUAGGAAUCUGCCUGGUAGUGGGGGAUAACGUCCGGAAACGGGCGCUAAUACCGCAUACGUCCUGAGGGAGAAAGUGGGGGAUCUUCGGACCUCACGCUAUCAGAUGAGCCUAGGUCGGAUUAGCUAGUUGGUGGGGUAAAGGCCUACCAAGGCGACGAUCCGUAACUGGUCUGAGAGGAUGAUCAGUCACACUGGAACUGAGACACGGUCCAGACUCCUACGGGAGGCAGCAGUGGGGAAUAUUGGACAAUGGGCGAAAGCCUGAUCCAGCCAUGCCGCGUGUGUGAAGAAGGUCUUCGGAUUGUAAAGCACUUUAAGUUGGGAGGAAGGGCAGUAAGUUAAUACCUUGCUGUUUUGACGUUACCAACAGAAUAAGCACCGGCUAACUUCGUG